UCAAAUCCGCUGCAAGCGACAAAAAAGAGCUGCCAUUACAAUCAACAAAUCUGUUUUACAGAUCUGCGCGCGUGCAGUGUAGAUAGGGUGUGAGGAAACACGCUGCUCUGCGCUCGCUUGCCAGUUCCCUGCCUGACGUCACCCCGGCGCGCGCUUCCAUAGAUGCGAGCGCGAGAGUACAGUGACAGCGCCUCGUCCACUGUACGCAACACUGCUCAGCACUAUCUCAGGCUAUACUCGAGAAACGGCAGCAGAUCAUGGAAUGUGACUAGGCAACAUUCCGCUUUAUUUGAGGCCGGUCGUCCGCCCUGCACUCACGGUGUGCAGUACUUUAAUCCCACCGUUCCCAUUAUUAACCAAUUGAUCACUGCCCUCCUGUGAUCCGUGAAUCACAUUGGGAGCUAUAACAUUUUUAUUAAUUAUUCCUCGAGUUUUUAUCCCACUCUAACGGUUCGACUACAAGCUGAGGCUCAAUAACUGGAUUUUAUCGGUGGAACAAUAGGCGACUACUGCUGCCUGGAAAUUAAAAUUUACUCUUGGAUUAUUGUCUCAGCAUCAUGAGCACGAGUGUACCCUAUCAGCAAAGCUCGUGCAACAGUGAACGGAGCUCCGGACCAAUCCACUGCUUUCGCUGCCGGGAGGUGUGCAAAGGAGAGGUGGUACGAGUGCAACAUGUCCACUUCCACAUCAAAUGCUUCACCUGCCAAGUUUGUGGCUGUGAUUUGGCACAUUCUGGAUUCUUCCAGAAGAGUGGCGAGUACAUCUGCACAACAGACUACCAGCGCCUGUACGGCACAAAGUGUGACAGCUGUGGGGACUUUAUCUCAGGGGAGGUGGUCUCUGCACUGGGCCGCACAUAUCAUCCACAGUGUUUCGUCUGCAGCGUGUGCAGGAAACCUUUUCCAAUCGGGGACAGAGUGACGUUCAGUGGUAAAGAAUGUGUCUGUCAGCAAUGUUCCCUCAAGCUGGUUAAUUCCAAUGAGCCAAUCAAAAUCCAUGGGCCCAGUCACUGUGCAGGUUGUAAGGAGGAGAUCAAACAGGGUCAAUCUCUGCUGGCAUUAGAGAAACAGUGGCACGUCAGCUGCUUCAGGUGUCAGACCUGUGGCCUGGUCCUGACGGGGGAGUACAUCAGCAAAGACGGCAUUCCUUACUGUGAGGCAGACUACCACGCCCAGUUUGGGAUAAAGUGUGAAACAUGCGACAGAUACAUCAGUGGACGUGUGCUGGAGGCUGGUGGGAAGCACUAUCACCCCACUUGUGCUCGCUGUGCCCGGUGUCAGAUGAUGUUUACAGAAGGAGAGGAGAUGUAUCUCACAGGUUCAGAAGUGUGGCAUCCUGUGUGUAAACAGGCAUCUCGAGCAGAGAGGAAACUGAGACUCAGGCGCACAUCAGAAACCUCCAUCUCUCCUCCAGGCUCCAGCAUUAGUUCACCCAGCAGAGUCAUUUGUGCAAAAAUGGAGAACGAGAUCCUUGAUUACAAAGACUUGGCAGCGCUGCCUAAGGUUAAAGCCAUUUAUGAAGUGCAGAGGCCAGACUUCUGGUCCUAUGAGCCCAGUCACAGAUACUGCUCCGAUGACAGGCUAGAGCGUCUCAGCUAUGGGGAGUCUUUGGGCACACUCUCCCCUUAUUCUCAGGACAUGUAUGACGGUAUGGACAUGAGGCUGAGAAGAUCCUCCAGUCCAGGGUACAUAGACUCCCCCACUUACAGCAGGCAGGGCAUGUCUCCCAUCAUGCCUCGCUCUCCACAGCACUACUACAGAUACGGCACUGAGAGUGGCAGAAGUUCACCCUAUUACAAUCAGCUAGAUGCCCGGUCCAGCACGCCCACCACAAACCAAGCUCCCAAGCAUUUCCAUGUGCCAGACAAUCACUGCAAUCCAGCAACUAAGAGCAAGACCAGUGAGGACAUUCUCCAAUCCUCCAAGUUCCCAUCAGCCUACUCGCCUGAACACUACCAGCACUCUGAGUCUGAUUACUACCAUUACACCAGCUCUCCUAAAUCUUUACGUGCUCCUCGUAGAAGGUACUCAUCAGGUGGAGAAGAGGAUGGCUGGAGUCACGGCCUUCAAAGAAUUCAGGGUGGUAUCGGUAGGAUGAUCCUGAAGGAGGAGAUGAAAGCCCGCUCCGGUUCCUAUGACAACGACCCCUGGGGCAGCGCACGAAACUCCCGCAGUGGGAGCAGGGAGAUGUUGCACAGCAUGGGCCACAACAACACAGUUAACGGCUCUCCUCGGACAAACUUUGCAGCGGAGAAUGACUACAUUGCCAAGUCAGCCUCUUUGCCAGGAUAUGGCAGGAAUGGAUUGCACAGGCCACAAAGCGCAGACUACUAUCAGUAUGACAGUGGCAGUGAAGUCAACUGGGGAAUCAGAGGCAAGUAAAGGAGGUUUUUAUUUUUAAAUGACAUUUUUGCUGACAUAUUUGAGAUUAAAAUUGUCUGUACAUUGACUUAUUUUUUUAUUUCUUUGUUUUCCAGCAGAGUACAAGGUAAGAAAGAUGGUUUACAUUACCAGAUGAUUAAAGAGUCUUAGAGAAACACUAAACAUCCUGAUAGAGAGGCACCUCUGAAACAUUAGCCCACUCCAGUGGAAAGUCGGUCUAAUGAACCCUGAUGGGUCAAAGCAACGUCCUGCUGGUCAAAGCGUGUGGAAACUAGAGGAUGGAGAAAUUAGGGCUUCCAGGUCAUAAGGCCACUGUGUAAUUCCCCAGCUGGCUCUUAGUGACUUGGAGACUGCAGGGGCCAUUGAGAGGGCAGGGGUUUGCUCUUAGUUGGUCAGGAACUAUAUUGUUCUGCUUGGUGCCGCUUCCUGUCUCGGUUACAGCUACUGUGCCAGAGGCUCUGUGAUUUCCUUUCACUGCUGAAAAGUGAGAGGAAAAGGAGGUCCACCAAUGCAGUCUGCUCUGAGAACAAUGCUUAGCUUUCCAUUACCAUUAUCAUAGAAAGUCAUGACGAUUAUUUGUAUAUAAAUAAAUAUGAGUUUAAAUGUUUAUGCUAAUGUAUUUUAAAGCUUAUAAUAAAAUGCAUUGCUAACUUUCAUUACAGAUCUAUCCAUAUGAAGCACUUAUUGUGACCACUAGGGGGCGGAACAGGUUGCCGAAGGAUGUAGACCGAGCCAGAUUGGAGCGGCAUCUUUCCCCUGAGGAGUUUUAUCAGGUAUUUGGGAUGACGAUGGUAGAGUUUGACCGUCUGGCACUGUGGAAGAGGAAUGAGAUGAAGAAACAAGCCCGGCUGUUCUAGCGUUCCUGUCCCACACACACAGAGAGACCUGAAUACCUGUUCCAGUCUAACUAAACAAACACAUCCUGUGUCUCAGACAUAUAGUCAUGCCUGGACUGUACCUACAAAUUGUGCAACUGUUGUUUGUGACAGAGGCAUGUAAAUGAUCAGACAGGAUAGAAUACCUGACGAAGAAUAACGGAAUGGAGGGAACAUUUUGGUUUUUACUUGAGUGUAAAGUGGUUCUUGAACACAUUUUAUUUUGUUUCUGAAUGACAAAAAUAAGGAAUCAGGAAUUAUAAGGAUUUUGAAUUUUGCCUUAUGUUCUCUAUUAAUUUAUGCACCAGCAAAGUGAGUGAACAGAAUGUAAAUAUGAUUAAUACAACUAUAAUGAGAGUGGAUGAAUCGUCUGACAUCAUCCAUUAAGUACAUUAUUAAGUAAUAUUUAAUUUUAAAGGUUAUAAAAUAAUAUUUUUCAGUUCUUUUGUUUCACUAUUAUACUACAUAAGCUUAGGUGGGCUGAAGUAAGCGAUGAUUUGCUUGACAAUGAAUACCAAAGUUUGACUGUUAUUUGUGAAGUUAGCAGAUGAAAUUGAGCACUACAGUGCUGUACUUUGUUCAGGUCAUUUCCAAGGGGUAACGAAUACUGAAUGUACACUUUUCUCACAAGAGGACUUUAGGAUUAUUAGACUAAUUAUGAUGAUGCAUACAUUGUAUAUUGUGAUGGUAGAAAUAAAUAUGGCUUGUGUUUGAUACAGAUGAUAAAGACAAAACAUAGUAGGAAAAAAUUAUGGUGCAAUGUUUUUCUCUUCUUCUUUUUUUUUUCCCAGAUGUUUUGCUCUUAAAAAAAAGGAGAUCUGUUGUUUAGGUUAGGGCAGUUUACUUUCAUAACUCCUGUUAGGAUGGAUCAGGAAAUGCUGUGAUACCUUAAGUGGGUUUAUUAUAUUUUCAAGUCAUGCCAGGGCGGAAUACGUCACCUGAUUUGGUAAUCAAAUGAACGGAGAGGGAGUAAACGGAUUGUAUGGCUAAUGACAGGGAUAACAUAUUCACACUCAUGUAUUGUUUGAUGGAAAUACACAUUACCGCACCAUUGAAGCAAGUGACAAACUGUAACCUUGAUUAGGACCUAACAGUAACCAUGAGGUCUUUAAUGCCAAGGGAUACUGACAUUAGUUUUGUACCUCACUGACAAACAGGUGAAACCAUCAUGUUUUCUGCCUUUGUGUGUAGUGUUUACAACCUGUUUGCCCAAUAGAUUGUUAUGAAGUGUUCUAUUAAUUUCAAAGUAAAGGAAGAGAGCUAGAGUAUAACCAUAUUUUUGAUUCUCUUUUUUAAUCACUACUGCUAACUUAUCUGUCAGUUUCAACAGACUAUGUACAUCUUAUAUUGCAAUAAAAGUUUGUUUUCUUGUGUAAAA
RNA transcript from Ctenopharyngodon idella (grass carp), 4634 nucleotides. It is a transcript of the gene named actin binding LIM protein family, member 3, with no coding region annotated. Lineage: Eukaryota; Metazoa; Chordata; Actinopteri; Cypriniformes; Xenocyprididae. The transcript has 20 exons. The record is from RefSeq and is a predicted model, not a curated record.